Molecule: transfer RNA, 71 nt
Filed under: Armatimonadota bacterium
Lineage: Bacteria; Bacillati; Armatimonadota
Description: Armatimonadetes bacterium (rhizosphere metagenome) tRNA-Gly
Rfam family: tRNA
About the family: Transfer RNA (tRNA) molecules are approximately 80 nucleotides in length. Their secondary structure includes four short double-helical elements and three loops (D, anti-codon, and T loops).
Source: RNAcentral
GCGGACGUGAUGUAGUGGUAGCAUACCAGCCUUCCAAGCUGUUUGCGCGAGUUCGAGUCUCGUCGUCCGCU